UGGGGGAUCUUCCGCAAUGGGCGAAAGCCUGACGGAGCAAUGCCGCGUGGAGGUAGAAGGCCCUCGGGUCGUAAACUCCUUUUCUCGGAGAAGAAGCAGUGACGGUAUCUGAAGAAUAAGCAUCGGCUAACUCUGUGCCAGCAGCCGCGGUAAGACAGGGGAUGCAAGCGUUAUCCGGAAUGAUUGGGCGUAAAGCGUCUGUAGGUGGCUCCUUAAGUCCGCUGUCAAAUCCCAGGGCUCAACCCUGGACAGGCGGUGGAAACUACUAAGCUGGAGUACGGUAGGGGCAGGGGGAAUUUCCGGUGGAGCGGUGAAAUGCGUAGAGAUCGGAAAGAACACCAAAGGCGAAGGCACCCUGCUGGGCCGACACUGACACUGAGAGACGAAAGCUAGGGGAGCGAAUGGG
RNAcentral lists this ribosomal RNA (406 nucleotides) under Acidobacteriota bacterium. Its description in RNAcentral is "Acidobacteria bacterium partial 16S ribosomal RNA". It matches the Rfam family "Bacterial small subunit ribosomal RNA", at positions 355 to 776 of the family's 1533-position model. The record is from RNAcentral. Lineage: Bacteria; Pseudomonadati; Acidobacteriota.